UCUCCCUCUUCCGCCUCGCGCCGCCGCCGCCGUCUCGCGGCGCCACCUCUGCCUCCCUCUCGCGUCGUCAUCCUCUCCUCCUUCCCGACUCACCUUCUCCCUCUCCUUCUUCCGGCGCCGCCACCUCCGCCUCGUGCCGACCCCAUCUCCGAGCACGGCCGCCACAACCGCCGCGUGCCCGUCGCCGCCUCCGCCUCCGCCGCCGCCGCCUCCGCCGCCAGUGAGAAGAGAUCGGCGCAGGUGGUGCGGCGGUGGGCAACUCCAUGGAGUCGAGUACUGCCAUACCAGCAACGCAAGGCAUCAGCAGCCAUUAAGAUCUCUAUUCGUCUGCGCGGUGUCCUGCUCCUCCGGCCUGAAGAUGUGAGAAGCGGCCACGACCAAAGCUCUUGAGUGCAGAGAGUGACAAUAUAUGUCUAUCUAAGUUCUAGAACAGAGCAGCAAACUGCACACAAGAGUCGAAACAAUUGGAGGAUUUCAUGAUGGCAUUGCAUUUUUGAAGAAGGGCCAUGCUGAACAGGAGGCAUGAAUUCAAGACUGAUAAACGAAAAGGUUAUUGAUGGUCUUGACAGUAUGUGCUAAACAUGAAGAAUGGCAAAGUUGCUCUUGUAAUAGUUCCCGAAUAUGCAUUUGGUUUUGUCCACCAAACAACCCUGUGAUUCAUGAAGUUGAGCUUGCACCAUUUUGUGAAGGGUAAAUAAUAGUGGGACUUGAAUAAUGUCGGUAAGAUUGAGACUACUGUUGCAAAAAAAAAGGAAGAAGGAAAUACAUUGUUCAAGCUGGGAAAAUCUACCAGCUUUUCAUAAAAAAAAAAGGAUUUCUAAGCGAUAUGAGAAGCAUUCAUCAAGUAAUUGAUAGCACAUUUGGUGAAGAAAAGAAGAAGCAAUACAAGUGACUGAUGGUGCUGCAACUUGAACAAUGUUGCAUGCAAGUUGAAGUUAAAAAGAUUACAAGCAAGCUGAGAAG
This 963-nucleotide long non-coding RNA is filed under the name Oryza sativa Indica Group (long-grained rice). RNAcentral's name for it is "lncRNA OsIR64_11g0011470". The record is from RNAcentral. Lineage: Eukaryota; Viridiplantae; Streptophyta; Magnoliopsida; Poales; Poaceae.